Non-coding RNA from Maylandia zebra (zebra mbuna), 639 nucleotides. The record is from RefSeq and is a predicted model, not a curated record. Lineage: Eukaryota; Metazoa; Chordata; Actinopteri; Cichliformes; Cichlidae.
UGUAUAUCCACAAGGUGGCAGUAAUGCAAAAACAGUUGUAAUGAAACCGCGCAGAACAAGAAGGUUUCACGGCUUGUGCCUGCUCAUGCGCAAGACUUCAAAUUUAACUGAAAAAGGCUGUUUUGGCGCCAAGCUGCUGUUUCUUUGAGAGGUGGAAGCAGAAUAUGUGAGGAUUACUACUGCUGCACAUGUUCCAAGGCUUUUUACACAACUUGACCAAUACACUGACCAGCUCAUAAAAGUCUUCAAGAAAAAAGGAGGCGUUGCAGGGAAGAAAAUUAGACAAACUUUGGCCCCAGCCACACAGAAGGAAACCAUUGAAAAGGGGAGGGAGUGUGUCCUCAGGGCACUACCUUUUUACCUGAAUGAAGACCCAAGCAUCCUCUUCAAAGAAUAAUUGCUACAGCUGUUCAGAGGGAGCUGGAACAAAUUACCCUUGCUAUCUUUACCAUCGAAAGAGCUGAUGCCAGCACUCCUCCAGCCGAUGUGGGUAUAACCAUCUAGUGUGUCCUGCAUGACCUGGAAGACCUGGCCUCUGCAUGUGCACUCUUAAUGGGUGGGAUAUAUGCACUGAAUCUCAGUUAACCUCAAGACUGAAAGCUAAGAGACAAUCAAAAGUAUUGAGAUUUAAAGGAUUUA